ACGACCUUACUUGAACAGGAUCUGUUCUAUAGGAAGUACCUCUGUGUCUUUGAUUUUUAAAGAGACAUGCCCUAUUAUCCUGGUUGAUGAAUAAUGGCCGUGCGAUCUGAGUGUGAUUGACGGUUACGAUUGUCUUCGGACGGUUGUCUGAUAGGUU
Molecule: small nucleolar RNA, 157 nt
Filed under: Brassica napus (rape)
Lineage: Eukaryota; Viridiplantae; Streptophyta; Magnoliopsida; Brassicales; Brassicaceae
Description: snoRNA Plant_U3
Rfam family: Plant small nucleolar RNA U3
About the family: Small nucleolar RNAs (snoRNAs) are involved in the processing and modification of rRNA in the nucleolus.
Source: Rfam by way of RNAcentral